Oryzias melastigma (Indian medaka) is the source of this 771-nucleotide long non-coding RNA. RefSeq lists it as uncharacterized. The transcript is spliced from 3 exons. The record is from RefSeq and is a predicted model, not a curated record. NCBI's taxonomy places the organism in Eukaryota, Metazoa, Chordata, Actinopteri, Beloniformes, Adrianichthyidae.
CUACUUGGCGCUCAAACUUCCUCCGGCUCAUUUAAACCGCGGAAACCGGUCUUAACACGAGAACAUGUCCGGAUCAACAACUCGUCAAUGCCCUCACUGCCUGGCUCGGAUAAACUGUGCAAAUCGAAAAUGCUCUAAGUGUGGAAAACUGUUGAGCUUCAAGGCAAGGCAAACGGCUCGUGUGAAGAAAUUUCGAGCCAGUGCAGCACAGUGGGCCAAAAAAGCAAAAGCCUCAAGGAAUGAGGCCAAAGUUUUUGACAACUCUGCAGUAAUAGUAAGUCUGUCAUCUAUAUUCUACAUCUAUACCACCGCACGGUUGCAGAGGGCAAUGUUCCCUGCAUGCUUGUACAUUCCCAGCGCUCAAGAUAAUAUGUGCAGUGCACAAAACAAAAUGACAUUCUAUUUACGUACACAAUUAUCCUAUUUACAUUGUAAGCAAAGUUACAAACUCUAUUUUCUCUAUCAACUUCAACUGGGGUGUGGUGGUGGUGGGCUGGACAGUCUGAAAUUGGCCAAUCAUCAGAUAAUAUUCAGGACACUGAAGACCCUUCUAUCAGUCAAUUAUAAAGCUGCUGCCUUCCUCCCACCCGCCUGCCACCGGACUGCCAACAUGCACCCUCCAAAUGUGCUUGGGUGGCCACAUCCCAAUGUCAGAAAAUCGAUUUGUUGCUGCUCAAUUUUAACUUUUUCUUCAAAGUUGGGUUGCCACCACAUGGCAUAUAAAAUUGCGACUACCGCCACCCAAUUACAAAUGGCAUUGGUGCUGGCAUU